Rattus norvegicus (Norway rat) is the source of this 177-nucleotide small nuclear RNA. Ensembl annotates it as U4 spliceosomal RNA. Lineage: Eukaryota; Metazoa; Chordata; Mammalia; Rodentia; Muridae. The record is from Ensembl.
AGCUUUGCACAGUGGCAGUAUCGUAGCCAAUGAGGUUUAUCUGAGGCGCGAUUAUUGCUCAUUGAAAACUUGCUCACAACCUCCGGUUCCCCCACACACACAUACACACUAUAAGCCCAGUAUCGAUGAGCUGUGCCCUGUCCCCUGCGUGCCUCAUUUUCUGGCCCACAGCUCUGU